UGUUACAAUGGCAGGUACAGAGGGAUGCUACCGGGCGACCGGAUGCGGAUCUCGAAAGCCUGUCCCAGUUCGGACUGGAGUCUGCAACCCGACUCCACGAAGUUGGAUUCGCUAGUAAUCGCGCAUCAGCCAUGGCGCGGUGAAUACGUUCCCGGGCCUUGUACACACCGCCCGUCAAGCCAUGGGAGCCGGGGGCGCCUGAAGUCCAGGACCGCGAGGACCGGCCUAGGGCGAAACUGGUAACUGGGGCUAAGUCGUAACAAGGUAUC
RNAcentral lists this ribosomal RNA (269 nucleotides) under uncultured bacterium. RNAcentral's name for it is "partial 16S ribosomal RNA". It matches the Rfam family "Bacterial small subunit ribosomal RNA", at positions 1223 to 1500 of the family's 1533-position model. The record is from RNAcentral.